AGGAUAUCCUUUCUUUUUUUGAUCAUCACGGCACAUGGCUAGAGCUGAAUUUGAGAAUUGUGCUCACAUGUUGGAUGGAUUUGCCUUAUACGUAUCAGGAAGUGAAUAUAAGAGUUUUUCAUUCUUGAGAAAAGAAAAAAAUACCCACUUCAGUGUUUUGGGAUUUGAAUUAUUCUAUCUGCCUAAUCAAGCCGUAAUCGUUAGACCUCACUUCAGGCCAUCCACUAUAUACAGGCCUUUUUAUUUUUGCGCUUUCGCUUUAUCUCUUCGUUGUACGCUGGUUAUAUCUUGACGAUUAGCUUAUUGUUACCUUUGUUACGUUACUACAAGAAGUCUCUGGUAACCAGAAGAUCAUUGAUUACAACUCUACCACUUACCAAAGAAUCUCAAGAUCAUUUAUGAACACACCAGAUCUCUACAAACUUUCGAACGAAGAGAAUAUCAAUUGGAGAAAGAUAUAUGCUGGCAACACCUUGAUCAGGCGAGCUAUUUCUAUCAUUUCUAUUGCUUUACCUAUAUCAAUAUCACACCUCUUGUUGCUUGUCAAUUAUCCUGUUUAUUGGUUACAUUUGAAUGCUGCUUUUUGGCUGUGAAGCCUUAUCUACCAGUGAUUCU
Leptinotarsa decemlineata (Colorado potato beetle) is the source of this 615-nucleotide long non-coding RNA. NCBI's taxonomy places the organism in Eukaryota, Metazoa, Arthropoda, Insecta, Coleoptera, Chrysomelidae. The record is from RefSeq and is a predicted model, not a curated record.